RNAcentral lists this ribosomal RNA (465 nucleotides) under Vreelandella stevensii. Its description in RNAcentral is "partial 16S ribosomal RNA". It matches the Rfam family "Bacterial small subunit ribosomal RNA", at positions 338 to 795 of the family's 1533-position model. The record is from RNAcentral. Lineage: Bacteria; Pseudomonadati; Pseudomonadota; Gammaproteobacteria; Oceanospirillales; Halomonadaceae.
CCUACGGGUGGCUGCAGUGGGGAAUAUUGGACAAUGGGGGCAACCCUGAUCCAGCCAUGCCGCGUGUGUGAAGAAGGCCCUCGGGUUGUAAAGCACUUUCAGUGAGGAAGAACGCCUGGUGGUUAAUACCCAUCAGGAAAGACAUCACUCACAGAAGAAGCACCGGCUAACUCCGUGCCAGCAACCGCGGUAAUACGGAGGGUGCGAGCGUUAAUCGGAAUUACUGGGCGUAAAGCGCGCGUAGGUGGCUUGAUAAGCCGGUUGUGAAAGCCCCGGGCUCAACCUGGGAACGGCAUCCGGAACUGUCAAGCUAGAGUGCAGGAGAGGAAGGUAGAAUUCCCGGUGUAGCGGUGAAAUGCGUAGAGAUCGGGAGGAAUACCAGUGGCGAAGGCGGCCUUCUGGACUGACACUGACACUGAGGUGCGAAAGCGUGGGUAGCAAACAGGAUUAGAUACCCCAGUAGUC